This 544-nucleotide ribosomal RNA is filed under the name uncultured bacterium. Its description in RNAcentral is "bacterial SSU rRNA". It matches the Rfam family "Bacterial small subunit ribosomal RNA", at positions 132 to 692 of the family's 1533-position model. The record is from RNAcentral.
AUCAGAGGGGGAUAACGAUUGGAAACGAUCGCUAAUACCGCAUGACAUAGCGGAACCGCAUGGUUCUGUUAUCAAAGAUUUUAUCGCUGAUAGAUGGGCUCGCGUCCGAUUAGAUAGUUGGUGGGGUAACGGCCUACCAAGUCGACGAUCGGUAGCCGGACUGAGAGGUCGAACGGCCACAUUGGGACUGAGACACGGCCCAGACUCCUACGGGAGGCAGCAGUGGGGGAUAUUGCACAAUGGGGGAAACCCUGAUGCAGCGACGCCGCGUGAGGGAAAACGGUCCUCUGGAUUGUAAACCUCUGUCUUCGGGGACGAAACGAGACGGUACCCGAGGAGGAAGCCACGGCUAACUACGUGCCAGCAGCCGCGGUAAUACGUAGGUGGCAAGCGUUGUCCGGAAUUACUGGGUGUAAAGGGAGCGUAGGCGGGCAGGCAAGUCAGGCGUGAAAUAUAUCGGCUCAACCGGUAACGGCGCUUGAAACUGCAGGUCUUGAGUGAAGUAGAGGUUGGCGGAAUUCCUAGUGUAGCGGUGAAAUGCGUA